AGGCGCCUACGGGAGGCAGCAGUGAGGAAUAUUGGUCAAUGGGCGGAAGCCUGAACCAGCCAAGCCGCGUGAGGGAAUAAGGCCCUACGGGUCGUAAACCUCUUUUGCCGGGGAGCAAGGGCCGGGACGCGUCCCGGCCCGGAGAGUACCCGGAGAAAAAGCAUCGGCUAACUCCGUGCCAGCAGCCGCGGUAAUACGGAGGAUGCGAGCGUUAUCCGGAUUUAUUGGGUUUAAAGGGUGCGUAGCCCGCC
This 251-nucleotide ribosomal RNA is filed under the name uncultured bacterium. RNAcentral describes it as "partial 16S ribosomal RNA". It matches the Rfam family "Bacterial small subunit ribosomal RNA", at positions 333 to 580 of the family's 1533-position model. The record is from RNAcentral.